CACGCCCCUGCCUGUCCUGAGUCUUCCUUGUGUGGAUGUGGGCGGAGUCUGCUGGGAGCACCUGCUCUCCAUCUGCAAUCAAGCCUGCUACAAAGGCCCAGCUCUCCAGCCAGACUCUGCCAGAUUGUUUCGUCUACCUGAUGUUCCCGCUGUGGAAGACUCCGGCAUUCCAGCUCCUGGCUCCUCGCUCCUCCACUGCCUAUCCUGCCUCGUCAAUAAACCUUUGUUUCUUUUUUGCAUUUUUGCCCUCGUUCUGAGUCUGUUUUUGGGGUCCACUCCAGUGGUACACAACAAAAUUAGUAUUUAUAAUAAAAACAUUACAACAAAAG
Boleophthalmus pectinirostris (great blue-spotted mudskipper) is the source of this 329-nucleotide long non-coding RNA. RefSeq lists it as uncharacterized. Lineage: Eukaryota; Metazoa; Chordata; Actinopteri; Gobiiformes; Gobiidae. The record is from RefSeq and is a predicted model, not a curated record. The transcript is spliced from 2 exons.